Homo sapiens (human) is the source of this 1517-nucleotide long non-coding RNA. RefSeq annotates it as long independently transcribed non-coding RNA 923. The transcript is spliced from 3 exons. Lineage: Eukaryota; Metazoa; Chordata; Mammalia; Primates; Hominidae. The record is from RefSeq and is marked validated.
GGCAGAGCCCAGCAAUAUGCGGCCUGUAAUCUGUCAGAUGAUACAGCAACAGGCCCAGUGAGGGGCCCGACACACCCCCCAGGAGAGUGGAGUCUCUCACUGCAUGUGACGUGGAAGACGCCGAAGAGGUGAGGGAGGCACCAUAUGCUGCGGGCCUGCCAAGGGAGAAUAAACAGCACCGGCAGCCUGGCACAGAGCUCUGGCGGGAACGUCCACCAAGAUCGGUCAGGCACUCUCAUGGCGUCCUCCUGGAUACAGGCUUUUGCUUUUGUUUUUAAUUUUGGAGCAGUGAAGCCGAAAGUGAGGAGUGAGGACAAGGAGAAGACCCAUUUGCUCCUGUUCAUUCAAACAGCAUCUCUUCAUUUUGAAAUUGGCAAGAGGCAGUUCGGGGCUGUGGCAGGUCCUGUACACCACCUGUUGCCUCCCAAGUCACUGUGCCUUUCUGGCUUUCUUUACCUAUGUCCUGUAAAACGCCAGAUGAGGACAUAGAAAGAUGAACUUAAAGCUGAAAAGUGAACUUAAAGCUGGAAAAAAUGAAGCAAUCUCAGCUAUGAUAGCUGUAAUAGAAAAAUGGAGUUUUCCUCAGUUUUUCUUCCUCAGAAUAAAUGGGAUGAUCCUGAUGGCUGUUUAAGUGGAGAGGAUUUGUUUGCAAGAACUCUACAUCUUCAACAUUUUGUAGAGCAUUCCCUGCGAUGUGGAAAAUUCUGCUGGGCUAUUCCCUGAGGACACCUCUACCUUUCGUGUCCAGAAUUGGUGGGUUCUUGGUCUCACUGACUUCAAGAAUGAAGCCGCGGACCCUCGCAGUGAGUGUUACAGUUCUUAAAGGCGGUGUGUCCGGAGUUUGCUCCUUCUGAUGUUCAGAUGUGUUCGGAGUUUCUUCCUUCUGGUGGGUUCGUGGUCUCGCUGGCUCAGGAGUGAAGCUGCAGACCUUCGCAGUGAGUGUUACAGCUCUUAAGGUGGUGCGUCUGGAGUUGUUCCUUCCUCUCGGUGGGUUCGUGGUCUCGCUGGCUUCAGGAGUGAAGCUGCAGACCUUUGCGGUGAGUGUUACAGCUCAUAAAGGCAGUGUGGACCCAAAGAGUGAGCAGCAGCAAGAUUUAUUGCAAAGAGCAAAAGAACAAAGCUUCCACAGUGUGGAAGGUGACCCGAGCGGGUUGCCACUGCCGGCUUGCAGCCUGCUUUUAUUCCCUUAUCUGGCCCCACCCACAUCCUGCUGAUUGGUCCAUUUUACAGAGAGCCAAUUGGUCUGUUUUACAGAGAGCUGAUUGGUCCGUUUUGACAGAGUGCUGACUACCUCUUGAGAGUUUUCCAGGCUUCCUAAGGCUUUGGAGCUUUCCUGAGUCAGGGCCUUUGCACAUGCUAUGUCUUUUGCCAGAGAGGCUGAUUGCUCAGCAUUAUGCAUGCCUGGUUCCUUCCCAUCAUGUAGGUCUUCUGGUCAAGUACCCCCUCUUCAGAGAACGUUUCUCCCCCACCCUUCCCCUCCAGUGCGCACUGCCAAACCCUGCUCGAAACCACCCUGU